UACGGAGGGAGCUAGCGUUGUUCGGAAUUACUGGGCGUAAAGCGUGCGUAGGCGGUUAUUCAAGUCAGAGGUCGAAAGCCCGGGGCUCAACCCCGGGAACUGCCUUUGAAACUAGAUAGCUAGAAUCUUGGAGAGGUCAGUGGAAUUCCGAGUGUAGAGGUGAAAUUCGUAGAUAUUCGGAAGAACACCAGUGGCGAAGGCGACUGACUGGACAAGUAUUGACGCUGAGGCACGAAAGCGUGGGGAGCAAACAGGG
This 256-nucleotide ribosomal RNA is filed under the name uncultured bacterium. Its description in RNAcentral is "partial 16S ribosomal RNA". It matches the Rfam family "Bacterial small subunit ribosomal RNA", at positions 524 to 777 of the family's 1533-position model. The record is from RNAcentral.